RNAcentral lists this transfer RNA (65 nucleotides) under Heterogamodes hebraica. RNAcentral's name for it is "tRNA-Leu". It matches the Rfam family "tRNA". From Rfam's summary of the family: Transfer RNA (tRNA) molecules are approximately 80 nucleotides in length. Their secondary structure includes four short double-helical elements and three loops (D, anti-codon, and T loops). The record is from RNAcentral. Lineage: Eukaryota; Metazoa; Arthropoda; Insecta; Blattodea; Corydiidae.
AUUACUUUGGCAGAUAAGUGCAAUGGAUUUAGAAUUCAUUAAUGUAGAUUUUUCUAUAAGUAGUG